UGCAGUCGAGCGGAGUAGCAUACUCAGUGGCGGACGGGUGAGGAACACAUAGGAACCUGCCUUUAGGUGGGGGAUAGCUAGGGGAAACCCUGGGUAAUACCGCAUGAUCUCGAAAGAGCAAAGGGGCGCAAGUCCCGCCUUUAGAGGGGCCUAUGUCUGAUUAGCUAGUUGGCGGUGUAAUGGACUACCAAGGCAAUGAUCAGUAACUGGUCUGAGAGGACGAUCAGUCACACCGGAACUGAGACACGGUCCGGACUCCUACGGGAGGCAGCAGUGGGGAAUAUUGGACAAUGGGCGAAAGCCUGAUCCAGCAAUUCCGCGUGUGUGAAGAAGGCCUUCGGGUUGUAAAGCACUUUAGUUGGGGAAGAAACAGCUUGGCCACACCAAGCCUUGACGGUACCCAAAGAAUAAGCACCGGCUAACUCUGUGCCAGCAGCCGCGGUAAUACAGAGGGUGCAAGCGUUAAUCGGAUUUACUGGGCGUAAAGGGUGCGUAGGUGGCUGCAUAAGUCGGAUGUGAAAGCCCGGGGCUCAACCUCGGAAUUGCAUUCGAUACUGUGUAGCUAGAGUUCGGUAGAGGGCGGCGGAAUUUCCGGUGUAGCGGUGAAAUGCGUAGAUAUCGGAAGGAACAUCAAUGGCGAAGGCAGCCGCCUGGGCCUGAACUGACACUGAGGCACGAAAGCGUGGGUAGCAAACAGGAUUAGAUACCCUGGUAGUCCACGCCGUANACGAUGAGAACUUGACGUUGGUUCGUUUUACGAAUCGGUGCCGAAGCUAACGCGCUAAGUUCUCCGCCUGGGGAGUACGGCCGCAAGGUUGAAACACAAAGGAAUUUGACGGGGCCCGCACAAGCGGUGGAGUAUGUGGUUUAAUUCGAUGCAACGCGA
Molecule: ribosomal RNA, 886 nt
Filed under: uncultured bacterium
Lineage: Bacteria
Description: bacterial SSU rRNA
Rfam family: Bacterial small subunit ribosomal RNA
Source: RNAcentral